GACGAACGCUGGCGGCGUGCCUAAUACAUGCAAGUCGAACGAGCUCUGGUUUUUGAUUGACGGUGCUUGCACCUGAUUGAUUAAACAUUUGAGUGAGUGGCGAACUGGUGAGUAACACGUAGGAAACCUGCCCAGAAGCGGGGGAUAACACCUGGAAACAGAUGCUAAUACCGCAUAACAACUUGAACCGCAUGGUUCGAGUUUGAAAGAUGGCUCUGCUAUCACUUCUGGAUGGUCCUGCGGCGUAUUAGCUAGAUGGUGAGGUAACGGCUCACCAUGGCAAUGAUACGUAGCCGACCUGAGAGGGUAAUCGGCCACAUUGGGACUGAGACACGGCCCAAACUCCUACGGGAGGCAGCAGUAGGGAAUCUUCCACAAUGGACGAAAGUCUGAUGGAGCAACGCCGCGUGAGUGGAGAAGGGUUUCGGCUCGUAAAACUCUGUUGUUAGAGAAGAACAUAUCUGAGAGUAACUGUUCAGGUAUUGACGGUAUCUAACCAGAAAGCCACGGCUAACUACGUGCCAGCCGCCGCAGUAA
RNAcentral lists this ribosomal RNA (537 nucleotides) under uncultured bacterium. RNAcentral describes it as "partial 16S ribosomal RNA". It matches the Rfam family "Bacterial small subunit ribosomal RNA", at positions 28 to 523 of the family's 1533-position model. The record is from RNAcentral.